AUACCUUUCUCGGCCUUUUGGCUAAGAUCAAGUGUAGUAUCUGUUCUUAUCAGUUUAAUAUCUGAUACGUGGGCCAUGUGUCCACUUUGAUAUUAAAUUUAUUUUUUGUGGGGGAGAGCCCACCACAGUGGCUUGCCACUGGGGCCCUCACGCGUCGCCCAGGCGUUGCACUGCUGCCCGGGCCUGGCGCACCCCAA
Oryza meridionalis is the source of this 197-nucleotide non-coding RNA. Lineage: Eukaryota; Viridiplantae; Streptophyta; Magnoliopsida; Poales; Poaceae. The record is from Rfam.